RNAcentral lists this small RNA (123 nucleotides) under Sinomicrobium weinanense. Its description in RNAcentral is "6S-Flavo RNA". It matches the Rfam family "6S-Flavo RNA". Lineage: Bacteria; Pseudomonadati; Bacteroidota; Flavobacteriia; Flavobacteriales; Flavobacteriaceae. The record is from Rfam by way of RNAcentral.
ACUCAACGCUAUUCAAUUAAAAAGGGUGAGUCUCGAUUGUAAAAGCAUGCCGUUCCCGGCCUUUGGCCGGAGAUAACGGAUCCUUGAGCAGUUGGUUAGCCCUAAACUUGUCUUUUGGAGUUU